AGUCAUCUGAAGUGUUCGUAAUAAGCUUUUUAUAUUUUGACCUAACACUUUUGAUCAAGGGAGCCUAAUUGGUUUUCUUAAUAGCGCAUACGCCUCGUAAGGAGGACAUGCAAAAUAAGAAACAGGGCACCCACCUGUAUAUAGCAGGCCAAAAUGAUCUAGCACUUAAUAUUACGGCACAAUUGGAUUCUAU
This is a non-coding RNA of Staphylococcus aureus C0673, 193 nucleotides long. The record is from Rfam. NCBI's taxonomy places the organism in Bacteria, Bacillati, Bacillota, Bacilli, Caryophanales, Staphylococcaceae.